Molecule: ribosomal RNA, 495 nt
Filed under: Neurospora terricola
Lineage: Eukaryota; Fungi; Ascomycota; Sordariomycetes; Sordariales; Sordariaceae
Description: eukaryotic LSU rRNA
Rfam family: Eukaryotic large subunit ribosomal RNA
Source: RNAcentral
UGAAGCGGCAACAGCUCAAAUUUGAAAUCUGGCUUCGGCCCGAGUUGUAAUUUGUAGAGGAAGCUUUUGGUGAGGCACCUUCUGAGUCCCCUGGAACGGGGCGCCAUAGAGGGUGAGAGCCCCGUAUAGUCGGAUGCCGAUCCAAUGUAAAGCUCCUUCGACGAGUCGAGUAGUUUGGGAAUGCUGCUCAAAAUGGGAGGUAAAUUUCUUCUAAAGCUAAAUAUAGGCCAGAGACCGAUAGCGCACAAGUAGAGUGAUCGAAAGAUGAAAAGCACUUUGAAAAGAGGGUUAAAUAGCACGUGAAAUUGUUGAAAGGGAAGCGUUUUUGACCAGACUUGCGCCGUUCCGAUCAUCCGGUGUUCUCACCGGUGCACUCGGGGCGGCUCAGGCCAGCAUCGGUUUUGGUGGGGGGACAAAGGUCCGGGGAACGUAGCUCCUUCGGGAGUGUUAUAGCCCCGGGCGUAAUGCCCUCGCCGGGACCGAGGUUCGCGCAUC